Molecule: unclassified non-coding RNA, 213 nt
Filed under: uncultured Entoloma
Lineage: Eukaryota; Fungi; Basidiomycota; Agaricomycetes; Agaricales; Entolomataceae
Description: sequence contains ITS2
Source: RNAcentral
AAUUAUCAACCUUUCAAGCUUUCGUUGAAGCUAGUUAGGCUUGGAUUAUGGGAACUAUGCUGGUUUUAGCGAAUCAGCUCUCCUCAAAUACAUUAGCAAGAUUGAUUGCUGAAUCCCCAUUGAUAUGAUAAUUAUCUAUAUCACUGAUAGGACAGCAUUUUCCUUGUAGGAAAGACCUUGCUUCUAAUUGUCUUUAAAGACAUUCUUUGAACC